Acanthosepion pharaonis is the source of this 114-nucleotide non-coding RNA. NCBI's taxonomy places the organism in Eukaryota, Metazoa, Mollusca, Cephalopoda, Sepiida, Sepiidae. The record is from the annotation of a GenBank genome assembly.
UUGCGGACACAUCACGUUGAAACACCGGUCCCCGUACGAUCACCAAAGUUAAGCAACGUCGAGCCAGGUCAGUACCUAGAUGGGUGAACUCUUGGGAAUACCAGAUGUUGCAGG